This 479-nucleotide ribosomal RNA is filed under the name uncultured bacterium. RNAcentral's name for it is "SSU rRNA". It matches the Rfam family "Bacterial small subunit ribosomal RNA", at positions 26 to 518 of the family's 1533-position model. The record is from RNAcentral.
AGGACGAACGCUGGCGGCGUGCUUAACACAUGCAAGUCGAGCGAGGCCCGUCCUUCGGGACGGUGCCCUAGCGGCGAACGGGUGAGUAACACGUGGGCAACCUGCCCCUAGCACUGGGAUAACUCCGGGAAACCGGGGCUAAUACCGGAUAUGACCUUUGAGGGCAUCCUCUUUGGUGUAAAGGAUUCUGGCUAGGGAUGGGCCCGCGGCCUAUCAGCUUGUUGGUGGGGUAAUGGCCUACCAAGGCGACGACGGGUAGCCGGCCUGAGAGGGCGACCGGCCACACUGGGGACUGAGACACGGCCCAGACUCCUACGGGAGGCAGCAGUGGGGAAUAUUGCACAAUGGGCGAAAGCCUGAUGCAGCGACGCCGCGUGAGGGAUGACGGCCUUCGGGUUGUAAACCUCUUUCAGCAGGGACGAAGCGAAAGUGACGGUACCUGCAGAAGAAGCACCGGCCAACUACGCGCCAGCAGCCGC